UGCAGUCGCCACUGUAAGUCGCUCUGGAUAAGAGCUUCUGCUAAAUGACUAAAA
Molecule: non-coding RNA, 54 nt
Organism: Salmo salar (Atlantic salmon)
Lineage: Eukaryota; Metazoa; Chordata; Actinopteri; Salmoniformes; Salmonidae
Source: Rfam